This is a long non-coding RNA of Rattus norvegicus (Norway rat), 822 nucleotides long. RefSeq annotates it as colorectal neoplasia differentially expressed. The record is from RefSeq and is marked validated. The transcript has 3 exons. NCBI's taxonomy places the organism in Eukaryota, Metazoa, Chordata, Mammalia, Rodentia, Muridae.
AUGGAGACCAGAAGCGGUCCGCCGCUGAGGCGGCGGGCUGUGAGCUAGGCUGACAGGGUUGCGGAGCCGGAGCCCCGGGGAGCGUGAAGCAGCCUGAGGCUGCCUCUCCGGCUAACCAUUCGGGGUUCGGGGCAGGCCGGAGUUCUACAGGGAGCGUCCCCGCCCCGACGCGCGGGUCCCCGCCUCCCGCGGCCGUACCGCCCCCCGGCUCCGCCCGCUCAGCCGGACUAACGGUCGGCGCGGCCUGCCACGAGGGAGCGUCCGCGGCCCGCGCAGAGCCGCGCACCAAGCGGAUGGCGUGGACGCAGCCGGGUCGGGCGGUCUGCGUGCGAGCAGGCGCGCGUGGGCGUGUCUCCCUGGCCCACGCGUGUCCCGGACAUCAGUGUCUCGGCUCUGGUCCAGGACGAAGACUUCUGAAAGCGAGCCAAGGAGAAUCACAGUUCGGAACGGAGCCCCUGACUGCCUGGUGGAAGGAGGUGAUUCAGAAGAGAGCGAGAUUCAGUGGAUGUGCCCGGGCUUCCCGAGAUGUGUUUGCAUCUGGAUGCCGAGGAUGCUGUGCACACAAGCUCUCGGGUGAUGCGGCCAUGGAGCUUGGAGGUGGCUGUCUGUGGACUAGAGUGUUCCCCAGUCACUGCAAAGGUGAAGUGCAGUAUGUCACUAGUUCUGUUGAGGAUGCUUAAUUCUACAAUGCAUUGUUGAAUAUUUGCUGCUUUAGUCAAAGGAUAGAAAAAGUAAAAUAAAUUUUAUGUUAUUUUUUUUCUAAAAUAAAAUGUCUUUAUUUGAUUGAAUGACUAUUGAUGAUUAAAAAGAGUUCUAAAAAUU